RNAcentral lists this long non-coding RNA (229 nucleotides) under Citrus x clementina. Its description in RNAcentral is "Citrus clementina (C. clementina) long non-coding RNA (CCLE_LNC001711)". Lineage: Eukaryota; Viridiplantae; Streptophyta; Magnoliopsida; Sapindales; Rutaceae. The record is from RNAcentral.
GGGUGGGGCUGACCAACUUCGUCCGCCGUACUCGGAAUGGCACGAGACUUUGCGAGCGGCCUCCGUGUGCCAAAAAUAGGCAGCGGGCACAGCCGCGCCCAAAAAUAAACUGCCCGAAGGCCGGGGCGCCAAGUUCGUCCAGCGGAAAAAGGCCACACAAAACGGGUGGGCUAUGGCCUUGGGGGGUGGGGCUGCCCAACUUCGUCCGCCGGACUCGGAAUGGCGCGAG